AUUGAACGCUGGCGGCAUGCCUUACACAUGCAAGUCGAACGGUAACGCGGGGCAACCUGGCGACGAGUGGCGAACGGGUGAGUAACACAUCGGAACGUGCCCAGUAGUGGGGGAUAGCCCGGCGAAAGCCGGAUUAAUACCGCAUACGACCUAAGGGUGAAAGCAGGGGAUCGCAAGACCUUGCGCUAUUGGAGCGGCCGAUGUCAGAUUAGGUAGUUGGUGGGGUAAAAAGCCUACCAAGCCGACGAUCUGUAGCUGGUCUGAGAGGACGACCAGCCACACUGGGACUGAGACACGGCCCAGACUCCUACGGGAGGCAGCAGUGGGGAAUUUUGGACAAUGGGCGCAAGCCUGAUCCAGCCAUGCCGCGUGAGUGAAGAAGGCCUUCGGGUUGUAAAGACGUCUUUCGGUCGGGGGAAGGAAAAGUUAGGCUUGGGUUAAGUACCCUGAGUAG
This 454-nucleotide ribosomal RNA is filed under the name uncultured bacterium. RNAcentral's name for it is "bacterial SSU rRNA". It matches the Rfam family "Bacterial small subunit ribosomal RNA", at positions 29 to 487 of the family's 1533-position model. The record is from RNAcentral.